GACGAACGCUGGCGGCGUGCUUAACACAUGCAAGUCGUACGGUAAGGCCCUUUCGGGGGUACACGAGUGGCGAACGGGUGAGUAACACGUGAGUAACCUGCCCACAACUUUGGGAUAACGCUAGGAAACUGGUGCUAAUACUGGAUAUGUGCCCCUGCUGCAUGGUGGGGGUUGGAAAGCUCCGGCGGUUGUGGAUGGACUCGCGGCCUAUUAGCUUGUUGGUGGGGUAGUGGCCUACCAAGGCGGCGACGGGUAGCCGGCCUGAGAGGGUGACCGGCCACAUUGGGACUGAGAUACGGCCCAGACUCCUACGGGAGGCAGCAGUGGGGAAUAUUGCACAAUGGGCGCAAGCCUGAUGCAGCAACGCCGCGUGCGGGAUGACGGCCUUCGGGUUGGAAACCGCUUUCAGCAGGGACGAAGCUUUUUGUGACGGUACCUGCAGAAGAAGCACCGGCUAACUACGUG
RNAcentral lists this ribosomal RNA (465 nucleotides) under uncultured bacterium. Its description in RNAcentral is "partial 16S ribosomal RNA". It matches the Rfam family "Bacterial small subunit ribosomal RNA", at positions 28 to 507 of the family's 1533-position model. The record is from RNAcentral.